UCCACAGUUCUCUUCAGGGGAUCCACGAUCUGCCAGCAUAUGAGAAUGCACAAAUCAAUCAGCAACAUCCCACCCACGAUGAUAAAGAGCUUCUGGUCCUUGAUAAUCUGAAAGAGAGAAAAAAAGAAAGAAAGAAAAGCAAUGGAUGAGUGGUUGACCUGAACAGAACCCAAAUCAAAGGAAAGGUCAUGGCGAGGAAGCCUAGGUGUAUUCAGACAGCGGGAACGAACAAAUUCUUCCAUGAUUCAGAAUAGAAAUGCUAACUCGUUUUGAUCUGAUGUCUUUUGAUGGCUUACCAAUACCAAAACCUUGCGUUGUGGGAAACAAGGAGGUGAGCUCAGAUUUAAAUCCGGAAGAUGCACGGCCCACAGAGGUGAUUGACACAGCCCUCGCUGCGCCCCGAGGGCGAGACUGUAACAGACCCCUCGGACCACCGGACCCGCAUCGAACGGCGGCUGAUUUGAGACGGGCUGUCUGUGGAGUCACAUACUGUGAGACUGCUUCUCAGCUUGAUAAAGAGAUGGCACACCCACAUGCACACUCACAAAACACAGUCCUGACAGCAGCCAUCGCUUUAGACUGCCAAAGCCCAGCAGUCCAUCACUGUGUGGAGCGGGAGUCAGCUCACUGCCAGCUUCCUGCACACUGAAGUGCCGGAGGGAAUUAAAGCCCUGAGCCUGGGCAUUACCUGUCUCUGAAUUUAUUUAUAUGUAGUGGGUCCAGUUAAGAACUGCUAAUUGAGUGUGAAAGUGCAACUGAAGAGAAGACACCAGGGAAAAAAAAACUUACAUGCAAUGUAUCAAGCUGGAAUUACAUCACAUACUCCUUCUAAAUCUUUGUUUGGAAGUCUGUUAUCAGGGAAAACAGGAUUUUUGUUGCUCCUUAACUCUAAAAUAAAUAGAAAUAAAAGAUUUUGACGUAGAAUACAGCAUACAGUGUGCUCGACCUGACUGUUCAAUUCCAAUUUAAUAGAUGAACCAGAAGUAAUAUGGAACAGUUUUUUUUUUUUUUUUUUUUUUGGCCUUUUUGCAGACAGGAUAGUGGAGAUUGACACUUUGGGUGGAGAGAGGGAAAUGAGAUCGGCAAAGGACCUCGAGUUGGAUUCAAACCCAGGUCGGCUGGAAGCACAGUUGUGCCAUAUGUCAGUGCCCUAACCACUAGGCUAUCAGCACCAACACCGAAGACAAUUUUUAACGUUAAUCUUUCUUGACUAAUCAUUUGAUCAGACUAGCAAAUGUUAACAAAUUUGCACAAAAUUGGAUAAAAAUGCAAAAUGUCAGCUUUCAUUUACAUGAUGAUAACUGGACACCACUCGAUUCAGAAACUUGGUCCACCAUUUUAAAGCUUCAAAGAAAGAGGGGUAAAAACUGCACUGCAAUAAUGUAAAACUACAGUACUGAACUAAAUUCUGAUGCAAUAUUAUCAGUGGACUUAAAUGUUGUUCACGAGUUCACACUUACAAAUAAGUCAGAUAAAAUAAAUGGUAAACGUAUUUGGCGUGCUGUCCGGGGAGAGGGCUCCGAGCUAAAAUUAAAAUAUUAAAAUAUACAGUUUUAAAAGUAAAGCCUCAAGACUUACACAUUACAGAAUAUGUGUGAAUCGCUUAAUUAGAAAAUCUUCUCACAUUAAAUGACUUUAUAAAAGUGCUUUAACAAAAACACACGCUUCACAUUUCAGCAUUUAAAUCCUUUGGAUUAAAUUACUUACAUUGUAAAUGUGAUACUGUAAUUUUUUACUUUUUUUAAAAAAAAGAAGCAAAAAAAAAAAAAAAAAAAAAAGAGAGAAGCAAAAGUCUGUGGUAGAGGUCUUUACGGAUCCACUUGGAACCGAAAACCUGAUGUCCGACCCGAGACCCAAGCGGGUUUCGGUCCAAAACUUAGACGAGUGUCUCGGACACGGGUCGGGUCCGAUGUUAGUAGCCUCAGGUCUUGGGUAAUUUAAAAUAAAUGUACUUUUUUUUAUCAAAUGGACCCCAGAAUAUUUUAAAAUAUGCCAACUUUCCACUGUUCGUCUCAGGUGUUUAACAAUAUUUUAUUAUUUACAACAAAUACUAAUAUUAAAUAAUUCUAUGAGAACACUAUUAUCCCCCUUCUUCUCUGUCGAUAUGCCCUUCUACGAGUACUAAACCCUCCAGAAUAUUAGUGAGUGCAGCAGCGGAGCAUGCUCAACAUAAAACUACGCUCUGCAAUACCCGACCCAUUCGAGAGGAUAAGUGUGGGGGCUUGCGUCUUAAUAUUAACAUAAACACUUUAAACAGUUUAUUUCGACAGUCCACUUUAGACAUUCUACUAACUAUAAAUAACUUUGCAGCUACAUGUCAACUACCAGUUAAACGUGUGACACGCUACAACAGACCUAGUUGGUUCAUGUGUGUCAUGCACGCACAUUUGAGCUUCUUCUUUUGCUUUUAAUGCUGGUUGGCAAACCCACUUGAAGUUGCACACCGCCACCUACAGCACAACACCUGCUUGACAACUGACGUAAAAUAAAGGAUUGGUCUUAGUGUAGCCGAUACUGACCAGUUAAAAAAAUGCUUAAUUGGCCCCGAUACCAAUCCUUAAGAUCGACUCGGGACAUCCCUAAAAAUAAUACUAAAGCCACGUUUCCACCGCAGGAACUUUCCCCAGGAACUAAGGACUUUGGAGUGGUACUCGGUUUUCAACCGCAGGAACCAGGGUCUAAAUGAAGUUCCAGGUAAAAAUUUCCCCCUCAGAAAGUCCCUGCUCUCGAGGUAGUACUUUCUCAAACUUGGGCGCUGAACAUGCCGAUUGGUUGAGUUCACGCAGCAUUUUGAUUGGUUGACUCCAUGCAGCAUUUUAUUUCAACCAUAAUUUUUAAAAGUCUGUUGCGGUGCAUGCAGUAAGAGUUGUUUGCUAUUUGAAUCAACAAUGGAAUUUUAAAAAAUAUGACCGACGAUGAAGUUAGGGCUUUAUUAUGCUUAAAUGCAGUGGACGAAAUACAGAGGGAACUGAGAAGUUGCACGCAGUCCUACGUCACCAGACUUAAUCUUCACGGUACUUCAGUUCUCUCAGUUACCAAAUUUACCUUCACAAUUGUUUAUCACUCUCUGUCCUACUCUUUCUUUCUGUAUAUAUUUUUCUUGAAAUCAUCCCACUGUUUCUGACUGCAGCAGUGGAAGUAGGCUGUGAGCUCUAUAAAUAAAGAUGGCCAGCAGGGUGCUAGAGCUGUGGCUAGCCAUCCUUUACAGCACUGUCAUACAGUAUCAGCUGCCUCACUCGCCACAUUCUUACGCUGCAUUGAAAAACAAGAGCAGGGAGAGAAAGAGAGAAUGAAAGGAGGUCAGUGUGCGUGCAUGAAUCUGUUGUGUUAAAGACCUGCAUGGAUGCGCUUGUGCGUAGCUACAGUUCAAAAGAAACCCACUGCACUAUUCCUCAGAAUGUGAUGGGGGUUUUUUUCAGAGGAAAUUCACUCGCAGACUUGUGAAAACCGUGUCUAGCGGAGCAGGAAGACACCAUUCUUUAGAAGAGAUCAGAGAUUCAUUGGUUAGCACUGGGAGUGCAGGCUGAUUUUUGGAUAUGUCAGGAAACUGAGCAUGGA
Long non-coding RNA from Ctenopharyngodon idella (grass carp), 3558 nucleotides. RefSeq lists it as uncharacterized. The transcript has 3 exons. The record is from RefSeq and is a predicted model, not a curated record. NCBI's taxonomy places the organism in Eukaryota, Metazoa, Chordata, Actinopteri, Cypriniformes, Xenocyprididae.